GACGAACCGUGCGAACGUUGUUCGGAUUCACUGGGCUUAAAGGGCGCGUAGGCGGACGGUCAAGUCAGGGGUGAAAUCUUUCAGCUCAACUGGAAAAGUGCCUCUGAUACUGAUCGUCUCGAGGGAGGUAGGGGCAUGUGGAACUUCCGGUGGAGCGGUGAAAUGCGUAGAUAUCGGAAGGAACGCCGGUGGCGAAGGCGGCUUUCUGGACGGUAACUGACGCUGAGACGCGAAAGCGUGGGGAGCAAACAGG
Molecule: ribosomal RNA, 253 nt
Filed under: uncultured bacterium
Lineage: Bacteria
Description: partial 16S ribosomal RNA
Rfam family: Bacterial small subunit ribosomal RNA
Source: RNAcentral